This 903-nucleotide long non-coding RNA is filed under the name Nicotiana benthamiana. Its description in RNAcentral is "long non-coding RNA (NBEN_LNC037490)". The record is from RNAcentral. Lineage: Eukaryota; Viridiplantae; Streptophyta; Magnoliopsida; Solanales; Solanaceae.
AAAUAUUCAGAAUUUUCCAAAGAUGAACAAAAGAAAAAUCAGGAAGAUAAAAAGCAAUUAGAAAAAGAAAACAAGGACGAGCAUGUAACUCUAGAUGGAAACAACUAUUCAGAAUAUCUCGAAGAGGAACACAUGGACAACUUAAUAUACUCAAACAAAUGAAAACAAGAAAACAAUUAGAAAAGAAACCAAACAAGAUUAAAAGCAAUAAAGCAGACAAACGAAGAGAAAGCUUUUCUUUCCUUGUAGCCCUAGAAUUAGAUUCUUCAAAUCUCACGGUCCUUUAACCUCUUCAGAGAGGUUCUUUGGCCUUCUGAGGCCUUUGCCUUACUAUUGGAGAGGGGGAAAGGGUUCCAGGCGAGGGUCGAUUGGUUUUGAGACAGGGUCUAAGUUUCAAAUCUGAUUUUGGUCAUGUCUAGUUGUAUCUGAGGGUCGUUGGUCGUGGGGUUGUGGAUGGGGAAGGUGAGAUGGUCACCAGGGACUGAUUUUUAGAGGUUCCGGUAAGUUUAGGGUUUGGGUCAAAUUUUGAUUUGAUAUUCGAUGAGUUCAGGGAGGAUUCGAGGGACGGGAUUUAGAUGGUUGGGAAGAGGGGAAAGAGGCGGUUUAGGGGUGUUAUUUUGGGUCGGUUUGGGGUUAGUUCCAUUGGUGGUGGCGGAGGCGGCGACUAUUCUGUCGAAUAUUCGACGAGCUGGGGAGGUAUUUGAGGGAAUCUAAUGGUGGGAGGGGAAAGGGGAGGUUGAGAGGGUCCGGUGGUGUAAAUUUGGGAUCAUUUGGUGGUCGGCCUUCGCCGUGAGGCAAUUUCUGGCGGCGGGGUUAUGGUGGUUGAGGGGUGGUAGACGACGGAUCUAUGGUGGCUAAAGGAUGGUGUUACACCGGUGUAUAGGUACAAGGAAGGAAACUGUU